RNAcentral lists this ribosomal RNA (494 nucleotides) under uncultured bacterium. RNAcentral's name for it is "partial 16S ribosomal RNA". It matches the Rfam family "Bacterial small subunit ribosomal RNA", at positions 28 to 507 of the family's 1533-position model. The record is from RNAcentral.
GACGAACGCUGGCGGCGUGCUUAACACAUGCAAGUCGAACGGAAAGGCCUGCUUUCCCUUGUGGAUUGCGGGUACUCGAGUGGCGAACGGGUGAGUAACACGUGAGUGAUCUGCCCCCAACUUGGGUAUAAGCCUGGGAAACUGGGUCUAAUUCCCGAUAGGACUGCAGGGUGGUGCCUGUGGUGGAAAACGAUUUUCUAGUGGUUGGGGAUGAGCUCGCGGCCUAUCAGCUUGUUGGUGGGGUAAUGGCCUACCAAGGCGGCGACGGGUAGCCGGCCUGAGAGGGUGGACGGCGACAUUGGGACUGGGUUACGGCCCAGACUCCUACGGGAGGCAGCAGUGGGGAAUAUUGGACAAUGGGCGGAAGCCUGAUGCAGCGACGCCGCGUGGGGGAUGACGGCCUUCGGGUUGUAAACUCCUUUCGACCGCGAGGAAGCCACCUGGUUGGAAGGGUGGUGACGGUAGUGGUAGAAGAAGCACCGGCUAACUACGUG